Long non-coding RNA from Calidris pugnax (ruff), 5758 nucleotides. RefSeq lists it as uncharacterized. The transcript has 3 exons. The record is from RefSeq and is a predicted model, not a curated record. Lineage: Eukaryota; Metazoa; Chordata; Aves; Charadriiformes; Scolopacidae.
UGCAUCCCUGCUUCAGCAGGAGCACCGCGAUGGAGGGUGGACAAAUCCUGUGAUUUGUGACAUUUGCAAUCUGCUGCUGGAGCAGGUGAAGAUGAAGGUGAAGGAAGAGCUGCCCACCUGCCUGAAUGGAGCUCAGACUGAAGACCUUCCCUGUGGUGCAGUCAAGUUCAGUGGCUGCAGAGCAACUGAGACUGAGCCAGGGCAUUGCCAUCUCUCCUCUGUCUCCUGAAGCUGUCCCCACAGCUUGGAGACUGAGGUGGGCUGCAGCUGUGCCACUGCAAGAAGAUGCUUCUGCAUGGCACAGGGCAAAGCAGUGGUACCCUUGGGUGCCCGUCCCUGGCAGAUGAGGAGGGGUGUUGGCUCCUGGGGACCUCUGCCAGGACACGUUUCCAGGCCUGAGAUGGGAGUGUUUCUCCCUGAUGGAUGCAGUUUGUUUCAGAGGUGAUGGAGCAGACUGAAGCUGGGGGGGAAAGGGGGCAGCCAGGCUGGUGGAGCAAGACAUUUUGAACGCUUUUCAUUCUAGCUCUCUGCAGCCCGUGCCUUGCCAGGAGCUGCUCUCUGUUUUCAGUUAGCUCUGUAAUUGUGUUAGAUCCCAGUAAACAAGGGCGUUCCAAGUGUGUUGCAAGAGCCAGGGCAGCUCUGCACAUCUUGGUCAUGUCCCUGGGGACCGGGUUGCUGGGUGCUGCUGGUGCCGUGACACAGCUGCUCCACACCUUGGCUUUGGGGAUCCCCCAACACCUUCUCUGGGGAGAUGGAGCCAGGGGUCUGGCUGCGGAGAGGGAGAGGACAAUCCCCUGGCUGCCACCCUGGGGAGCAGGACUCUGCCCUCAGCCUGGGCUGGAUGCUCCCAGCACAGCUCUGCUCCCUCUGCCUGUGGUUCCUGCUCUUUUCUCACCCCAUCUACACCACAGAGAGAGGACGAAGGACCACAAUGGCUUAGAAGAGGUAACGGAGCUGAGCACCAGGACCACCAUCAGCCUUCUCAGCCUCGGGUUCCCUCAUCUUUCUUGGUAUUCCCCUCAUGCUCAGAGAGCUGCCAGUGUCAGCCCCUGCUUGCACCCAGCUUCCCCAUCCUGCCCUGGCUCCUGUCCUAAAUAUAUUUUUACAUUUUAUGACUCUCAGAGGUUUUUAAAUUUAAUGGGUUCUUUUUUUUUUUUUUUUCUUUCUUCCUUCUUAUCACCUGAGCUGGAUCCUCUCUGAGCUGCUGCCAGCUCCAGGGAUUACAAGUGAAUAAUUUAGGUCUGAUGGUACGUUUGAAGUUUAAGAGAAGGAAGUGGCAUGUGUAGCCUGCUCCUCAUCCUGCCCCAGGGCCAUGGCACAGGCUGCUGCUGUUUCUCCAAAGCUCUGGAGCACAGUGAAGAAGACAAUGGAGAAGACAUGAAGAAACAUGACCUGCUGGAGAGCUGACAUGGGCUGGCUGCUGCUGGGCGAAGGAGUUACCUCUAGGGUUACCAGCCUGUUGUCUCCAGGUACUGGUGGAGGAAGGAAGGACGUGCUGAGCAAUGGCAGUGCAGAGCUCUUGGCUGGCCUGCUCAUCUUUGCUGCUUGGCUCUCCCAGGGAGCACUGAACAUCACGGGGUCCGGCAGCAGAAGAGACUUCCCUCCCCGUGUCCCAUGGGGAGAGAGCUGCCACCGGUGGUCUCUGUGGUCUGUGCUUGCACAGUGCCAAGUGUUGCUAGUUCUCAGGACAAGGGGCACAGAAAGAUACCCUGGGAAAUUAAUUUUAACCCCCAGCAAUUCACCAUUCAGAAAGGUAAGUGACUUUUGUCAGGGCUGGUUCGGUAGCAGCCCCAACAGAGGCAAUCUUUUCCUUACACACACGCUCCUCUUUGCAAGGUGGCUCUGACAAAACAUAAGCAUGAACUUUAGUUGUUUCCAGGAGCUCUUGGAAGAGCUAACAAGCGUAUCACAGGGUCCAGCAUUAAAUCCUUCCCUGCUGGGAUGCAGCAGAGAACGGAAACUGUCAGGCAGUUUGAGAUCCACUUAACAGCAAUUAGUGCAGAUGAAAGAAGCACUAACGCAAAAGCCCCAGUCUCUCUGUGCCUCGGGUGGGAGGAGGAAAGGAAUGUGUAAGAGAAAAUGUAAACAUGACAAAAUGUGGCUGUGUAUCCCACAAAACAAUGAAUCAUUUUAACUUUUCCAAUCCUUUUCAUGCAAGCAGAAACAGUCGAUCAAUAUGUGACAGAAUUAAAGACCUGCAGUAAAGCCUUGGAGCUGAGGAUCUGUGAGAAUUGUGAGUACAGAGUAAUCUGUGGAAUUCUGCAUACAGCAUGAAGGGAAAGGCAAGUGUGUGUACAGAGGCCAGAUGGUGCAACAGCAGAAGUCUGCUGGGCAAGAGGACUCCUUUGCCCACCCAGAGGAGCACCCGUUGGAGAGGAGAAACCAUCACUGGCAAUGGAUAUGGAGCACCUAGAGAAAGUAAGAGUAUUUCCCAGAAAACUCCGAGUUACAACAAAUGUGGCCCUAAACCACAUCCUUGUAAAAGUCUGCGGUGUGACUCAGAAUGUGUGUGUUCAUAAAAGCUGCAGCCAUAGCCACGGCUCUGGAGGAUUUUUGGCCAGGAAGAGCAUCUCAUAGACUUUACCAGUGGUGAAAAGAGUCGGGAGAUGCCAUUCCAUGACUCUGUGCCACAGCUGACUUCAAGACAAAGGCUGUUUCAAGGUAGAUUAGUGGGUGAUAUCCCUGGAAAAAGGAAAGGCAGGCACACAACAGCUAAACAGGUGAAUACUUAGUUAUGUGCACACAGGGUGUGAUGGACCUAUUGAACCCAUUCUAAAAGUGUCUACACUGGGCCAUUUGAAAAGCAGUAGGGAAGACACAAUUGCCCAGUUUGGAAACACUAAAAGUUUUAGAAAGUUAGCAUCAUUCUCUGGAUCAUGGUAAUUGAGUGAGCUGAGGAGCUCAAGAUGAUGCACUUACAACAGGUCUUUUGGGAGGUUCAGAUUCCUGCCGUUGCUCUUUGGGGAAGCUGGAGAAGUUUACCACAUGGGCAGAGAAACCUGCUACUGGCAAAAGCAGGACCGUAGACGGCACAGGGAAAGCAGAACUUUGAAGAGAACUCAGACCAACAGGGGCUGCCAGGGGAUGAUGGAAGCCGAGGACUGACUGGGUGCAGAGAUAUUGUCUGUUAAAAGCAGUGGAUCUAACAGUGGUGGUGGCUGAGCAGGAUUUGAGUCAGAGGGGACUGGCCAUGAUGAAGGAUAAGCAGAGCUGGGUCUGACGCUGCACCUUCUGGGUGUAGGCACUGGACAGGGCUUCCUUUCUCUUCAGCAUAGGAGGCCUUUUCUGGUCCCUCCCAACCACAUUACGGUGGUCUUCCCAGUGCAGAGCACAAAUCCUUCAGAGUGCUGGGCUCAGCACUAAUGUACUCCAGAAGCAGUCAGAUCACUCUGCCUUUCUGGGCUGGGAGUCCAAAGAUCGUCCUAGUACCAGAAAUAAACAACUAUUUUCCAGCUUGCAUCCUCCCCUCAGCUUUUUGCAGCCAGAUUGUGGCUUUCACUGCGCCACAGUUCUCCUACUAUUGUUAUGGGAAAACUGUGAUUGCUUUGAGCUCUUUCUCUCUGCUCCGGUGUCAGGGCCACAGAAGAGCGUGUGUGAGAGAGUGAGUGUGUGUGCACGUGUGUUUGCUAGGGAGAGGAUGACAAAAGGAGGCUGUAUGAUGCUCCUCCUGCCCAUUAGCCUUGUCCUAAGCUUUCCAUCUGACUGGGACCCUUGGAUGCAGCCUGGAUUGAUAGCCCAAACCUCUGCCUUUCCUCCGUUUUCUUUGCUCUGCUUUGUUAUAUUGCGAGUCUAGAGCACAGCCUCAGUUAUCCACUCUCUUGCAACACCUGGGUGGUGAAGCACGCAUCUGGCUGUAGGUCUUGGGAGCAAACAACUUGAAAUGAGCUCCUGUGCCACUGAUGGAAGGGCAAACACAUCCCACAGCAGGGUGUCAUUCUCCCCGGCUCACCUCUCGGUCACGCUGCCUGCCCGCCCGCCAGCAGAGCCAAACACUUGCCACCGGGCUUUCUUCAGGACGCACUCUGGGACUGGCCCAGCAAGGAAUGACUGCUGCAGAUAACUGCCCCAACAUUUAAUUUUUAUAGUCUGAGUGGCAGGAUUUCAUGCUGGGCACAACCAGCAGUGGAGAUGAAAGCUCGAAGCCAAAUAGACAUCACAGAGCCAGUACAAAUGCUAUUUAUUAAAGAAAUGCCUGGAUUGCAGAGGAAGCAGAAAGGUGCGUCUUGAAAGGAACCUUUAAUGCCUGUGAGUGAAAAGCAACAAGGGCUGGGGAAGAAGGCGAGCUGCCAGAGGCACCAGCGAAUGGACCCGGUCCUGGGGUGAGGUGGCAGCAGGAGCACGAGGCUGGGAGCCAAAGGGUAAGUCGUGCUGCUGCUUCUGUAGCCAUAAAAUCAAGAGCUGGGUGAAGGGGGUGGCCAAGCUGUGCUGAGGGGCAAGAAGGUGCUGCUGGGGAAGGGGACAUCCCCAGGGUUCCCCGAGGAACUGCCGUUCUCUGCUAUGCUUCUGUGCAGAAAAAUUAAUAACCGUGCCCUCCUGCCAGCAGGGUGUGAGGCUUUUCUGCUCCCUUCAGCAGCAGAGCAGGACUCCAGCUCCCACCUCGUGGUCCAGAUGGAGUGUCUCAGCUGCUGAGCUCACCUCCCCAUCUCUUCCCAGGCUGUGGAAGGGCUCCAAGCCCUCCUUCCCCCAUCACCGCAGGGGCCUGCCCCAUGCAAGGACACAUUUCCCCCUUCAAACAGUGAACCAGUCCCUUGCUUCCAGCUGUACAUACUCUGGCCAGGCUCAGGACACUUAUGGGGUGGGCACCACCCAGGCCACCCUUGCCUUCCACAUCACCUCCCUGCCCUCAGACCUUCAUUUUCCCUUGGUAGCCCCCAAAUGAUGGCACACCAGCCGCUCACAUGCAUCCCUGUCCCCAGCCCUGGAGUCACUCUGAGCAGCAGAAUCUGCUGCAUUAGGUCGAUUUCAAGAGCCCCUCCAGGUCAGUUAGCAAUUACCUGCACCAGAUACACGCUUGGAAAGGAGCUUCUGAUCUCUUCAAUGCACUCGUUUUCCUCUUUCAAUUUCAAAUUCGCCUCACUGGAAAUAGGCACUUCAGCCUCUUUUACAGACCAUGGUAAAUUAGGAUUUCGUCCAGUUCUGUUGGUUUUGCUGAUAUAGAUGUUUUUCCCUACAGAGGCAAUGCCACGGCCAAUCUGAGGUGUGUCCAGACCCCCUCCAUCCGAACUCCCCCAGCUGAGCCUGCAGGUGAUGUCAUGGUCCACAGAGUGUUUCUGCACAGACCCUGGCCCUGGCACAUGCUGAGGAGCCUCUCCUGGGAUGGGCACCCUGGUGCCAACGCUCUUGGUAUCAAUUCAGAGUGGUGGCUCAUGUUGUUGAGACAUGGCCAGUGAGCAGAGGCAUUCCCUCCCUUAAAGAGUCAGCUGCAGUGCAUGUCUCCAAUCUGCUGGCUCCAGUCUUGUCCUGGAAGGAAAAGGACUGGAAAAGAAGGACAGCCAGUAUCUUUGUGUCUGUCCUUACCCUUGUGUGGAAACUUGACUGCCAACAAGUUGUCACAAAGAUGCUCUCUACAGUGACAUCCUUCAUGCUGGGCUCUUCCAGCGUAGCACUGGUCACACUGUGGGAGUGCUCCGGCUGGUUCCUUCUGCUGCUCAGCUAAAGAAGACACGUUCUCCUGCUCCUGCCCAAGGACAGGCUCCCAAGGGAAGGGACCUGCGCUGCAAUCUUGCAGCUGGUGCAUCUGUAGCAGCCUCUGGGGCCA